Molecule: non-coding RNA, 75 nt
Organism: Myotis davidii
Lineage: Eukaryota; Metazoa; Chordata; Mammalia; Chiroptera; Vespertilionidae
Source: Rfam
GGUAGUUCUUGGGUGACGCAGCCCGGAAUCAGGCUUCCUCCUCUCUAGUUCCAGGUGCAUCACCUGAGAACCGCA